Molecule: ribosomal RNA, 424 nt
Filed under: uncultured bacterium
Lineage: Bacteria
Description: bacterial SSU rRNA
Rfam family: Bacterial small subunit ribosomal RNA
Source: RNAcentral
UGAGGAAUAUUGGUCAAUGGGCGCAAGCCUGAACCGGGCAUCCCGCGUGCAGGAAGACGGCGCUAUGCGUUGUAAACUGCUUUUCCAGGGAGAGAAACUUGCGCACGUGUUGCGCAAUUGACGGUACCCUGGGAAUAAGCAUCGGCUAACUCCGUGCCAGCGGCCGCGGUAAUACGGAGGAUGCGAGCGUUAUCCGGAUUCAUUGGGUUUAAAGGGUGCGUAGGCGGACUAUUAAGUCAGUGGUGAAAUCCUGCAGCUUAACUGCAGAACUGCCAUUGAUACUGAUAGCCUUGAGUUUGGUUAAGGUAGGCGGAAUGUGUAAUGUAGCGGUGAAAUGCUUAGAUAUUACACAGAACACCAAUUGCGUAGGCAGCUUACUGAGCCGACACUGACGCUGAGGCACGAAAGCGUGGGGAUCGAACAG